This 659-nucleotide ribosomal RNA is filed under the name uncultured bacterium. RNAcentral's name for it is "bacterial SSU rRNA". It matches the Rfam family "Bacterial small subunit ribosomal RNA", at positions 36 to 705 of the family's 1533-position model. The record is from RNAcentral.
CUGGCGGCGUGCCUAAUACAUGCAAGUCGAACGAAGAGUCUUUGUAGCAGUAUGAGGGCUUCUUAGUGGCGAACGGGUGAGUAACGCGUUGGUGACCUGCCCCAAAGUGUGGGAUAACAGUCCGAAAGGAUUGCUAAUACCUCAUGUGGCCAUCGGGUUUAGAAACCGAUGUCUAAAGCAGCAAUGCGCUUUGGGAGGGACCUGCGUCCCAUCAGCUAGUUGGUGAGGUAACGGCCCACCAAGGCUACGACGGGUAGGGGGCCUGAGAGGGUGGCCCCCCACAAUGGAACUGAAACACGGUCCAUACACCUACGGGUGGCAGCAGUAGGGAAUAUUGCACAAUGGGCGAAAGCCUGAUGCAGCAACGCCGCGUGAGCGAUGAAGGCCUUCGGGUCGUAAAGCUCUUUUCUGGGAGAUGAGAAAGGACAGUAUCCCAGGAAUAAGUCUCGGCUAACUACGUGCCAGCAGCCGCGGUAAAACGUAGGAGGCAAGCGUUAUCCGGAUUCACUGGGCGUAAAGCGCGUGCAGGCGGUUUGGUAAGUUGGGCGUGAAAUCUCCCGGCUCAACUGGGAGGGGUCGUUCAAUACUACCAGACUCGAGAGCGAUAGAGGAAAAUGGAAUUCCCGGUGUAGUGGUGAAAUGCGUAGAUAUCGGGAGGA